AUGAACGGAGACAAAGCUAACAAUUACGAGGCCUCCUGGGCCGAUCAGUGGGAUUACAACAGCAACUCCUCCUACCCCGUCGUGGUCAAAGGCGGCGGAACCACCGCCAAGUGCAAGCAAAAGGUCGGCGAAGGCCUCGUCAAAACAAAGGCGGUGGCUUCCACCGGCGCUAAAAAGGUCAAGGAAGGGGCCUCCGCUGGGUUUCAAUGGAUCAAACAAAAGUGCCAGAAGAAAUAG
This 237-nucleotide long non-coding RNA is filed under the name Prunus dulcis (almond). RNAcentral describes it as "sRNA ncRNA". Lineage: Eukaryota; Viridiplantae; Streptophyta; Magnoliopsida; Rosales; Rosaceae. The record is from RNAcentral.